AGUAAUAAGUUUUAGGUUAAUGUAUUUAUUUUAAAAUUUUCACAAUUUACUUUUUUAAAUAAUAUUCAUUUCAAAUUUCAAAAAAGAUUCGGCAUCACUAGCCGUUCUAUAAUGGCCUUUAAGUGCAGUCUUGCAAAAUGCUUCAAGAUGCCGGGUUUCUAUAUUUCCAGACACAGCAGAGCUUCAAAACUAUAGCAGUAAGGUAAUACAAGAUAUAAUUUGAUGAACCGAAGAUGGACUGAGUCCCCUGGUAUUAGACAGGCUAAAGCGCACAUAGGUGGGCCCUCUGCCUGUCUCACCAAAAAUCUACUACGCCUAAAAAGACGCGAAAUUCGGGUAGUGACAGGUCUUCUAACCGGUCACUGGCACUUAAGAAGCCAUCUCCAUACUAUCGGUAUUGCGGACAACCCGGAAUGCCGAUGGUGCUGUGAGGAGGAUGAAACCGUUGACCAUGCAGUCGGGGAGUGCCCAGCACUCACGCGCGCCAGGUUGAAAUACUUGGGUAACACUUUCAGUAUACCGAGCGACUUUAAGUCCUUCAGACCAGAGAGCCUUAUAGGUUUCUCUAAGGCCGUUGGGCUCUGGUAACCCCCGGUGGGGCAUGACGGGUCCAUCAGGAGACCUAUAUGCACAACUGCCUUGGCAGCCCACUGUUUCGUCAAUUCCAAUGCCAACAUUGGCGGAAUAACUCUACAUUCUGCUCUGUCCUUACCAGUUAAUCAAUACGAUGAUGACUUGAUUCCUUUAAGCCAUGAAACAGUCAAAACAAUCUAUUUUGCCUUAUGUGGACUUAAACUAAUGAUAAUUGACGAGUAUUCCAUGGUUGGUGCCAAAAUGUUUGGACAUGUAAACAGCAGAUUGUAGCAAAUCUUCAAAUCUGAUGAAGCAUUUGGAAACAUUCCCAUUGUCAUGUGUGGCGACAGUCGUCAACUACCACCAGUAGGAGAUUCCUUUUUAUUUUUGCCAUCAAAGAAGAAUCCCUACAAGGAAAUCUGUGGCACUUAUUUAUGGGACCUUUUUAAGUACUUUGAAUUAACCGAGAUUUUGAGACAAAGUAACGAUAAAUCAUUUGCCAUCGCCUUAAAUAAUAUGGCCUGUGUUGCGAUGACCGACGACGAUGUGAAGUUAAUUAAGUUGAGAGAGGUUCCUACUGACUUCCAAAUACCAGAAGACACCAUCCAUUUAUUCAGUUACAAUAGUGAUGUGGAUGCAUACAAUAACGAAAAAUUGUCUACGUAUAACACAGAUCGGUCGGUGAGUGAAGCCAAAGAUGUAGUUAAAGGUAGUUGCUCUGAAAAACUAAAAACAUUAUUUUUGGAGCAUGCGAAAGAUUUUAAAAAAUCUGAGAGUUUUGGCUUGAUGUUGACUUUAAUUCUACAAGUGGAUGCAAAAUAAUCUCUCUCAACAUAGAUACCAAGGAUGGUUUAGUCAAUGGUGCAACAGGUGCCCUUCGAAAAAUUGAAUAUGACCACAAUCAGAUUCCAAAUAGGGUAUGGAUAGAAUUUUUCGAUAAAAAAACUGGCAUAGAUUGUCGAAACAAACAUAAAGCUCAUAUGGAAGCCAAGAACAUACCGACCACUUGGACACCAAUACUAAAAACUGCAAGAGCGAUCAAAAUCCAAAAAGGGAGUAACGUCCACGUCGAAAGGCUACAGACUCAUCAGUGAGGGAUCACCAUCCAUAAGAGUCAAGGUGCUACCUAUGAACAAGUGGCUGUUCAUAUAAGUAAACGAAUGUCCAGAAGCAGUGUGUAUGUUGCCUGCAGCCGAGUUACCAAACUUAGUAGAUUGUACAUCAUUGGACAAUUCAAGGAUAAUUGGAAUAAUUUGUUACAAGAAAAAAUAUUUAACUGCAAAAAUAAGUUCUAUAACUAAGUACACUAAAAAUUUCUCAGGAAUAGUUUUUCAAGCUGUAACAUUUCUUUUAAAUGAUAUUUUUGUUAUGGUAGUAUACAAUCCUCCAGUUUUACAAUUUUACAAGCCCAACGUGGUUUAAGUGACAUUAUUUUUGGUCAGCAAGGACGUAUAUUAAUUAUUGGUGAUUUUAAUCAAGACAUAAUAAAUGAGACCCAAAAUGGCCUUAAAA
Molecule: long non-coding RNA, 2085 nt
Filed under: Anthonomus grandis grandis
Lineage: Eukaryota; Metazoa; Arthropoda; Insecta; Coleoptera; Curculionidae
Description: uncharacterized LOC126748291
Source: RNAcentral